ACAACUUUCGGACUGUCAGUCUACCGAGCAAUAUCGGUGGAAGAUCUUCCCUUUGUCGU
This 59-nucleotide microRNA precursor is filed under the name Bombyx mori (domestic silkworm). Its description in RNAcentral is "mir-2774 microRNA precursor family". It matches the Rfam family "mir-2774 microRNA precursor family". Lineage: Eukaryota; Metazoa; Arthropoda; Insecta; Lepidoptera; Bombycidae. The record is from Rfam by way of RNAcentral.